Molecule: long non-coding RNA, 2715 nt
Filed under: Glycine max (soybean)
Lineage: Eukaryota; Viridiplantae; Streptophyta; Magnoliopsida; Fabales; Fabaceae
Description: long non-coding RNA (GMAX_LNC000547)
Source: RNAcentral
CACAUAUAUACUAAUAAGGAAAAAAAAUUCAAAUAUUAAUUAAAAGUAUUUUUAAAACAUUUUUUUUACAAGUCUUUCAAAGGGGAAAAAGGCUCACAUUCAUUUUCUUCUACAUCAUAUUCAAACUUGUCCAAAUAAAUAAUAAAGUAUUCUCGACUCAAACAAGUUUGUCUAAGCUUCAUACAAUUAAUAUAGAACCUAUAUCCUAAUGUCACAUCCUAUCAGAGCGUUGUGUUCCCGUGUCCUCUAGCAUGAGGUUCUUCAUAGUCAUCCACCUAUUCAUCUGCUCCCCCGAACACAAGUUCAAGAUCAUCACAGGAUCCAAACACAACAACACACAGGGAGUGAGUUAUCACAUUCCUAGCUAAUAGAGAAACAAGACAAUUAAAUAUACAUAUUAUAUAAAUGAGAUACCACUUGCUUAAACAUAGUUCACGUAACUUCACCACUUCGUCAUUCAAAAUUCACUUUUUAAUCAUCAAUCACAUUACACAAGAAUCCCACACUUCGAUCAAGAUAUAAUAACACAUCAAUUAGCAAGCAUAUGCAACAGUUAUGCUAAGACUCAAUCCUAUAUGCAAUGUGGUACCAUGUCAGUGAAAAAUCACCCUGGGGCGCUUAGGAGUACAUAACAAGACACACCACACCAUGGGUUUGUCAGGUCACUCCCACUAAGUAAGAUCAUAGGGAGACCAGUCAGGGUCACGAUGCUUUGCAAGAAUACUCCAACCAUAUGGGAUCAACAUAGGCUUAAAGGAGUACUCAAACCCGGUGACCCCCAAGGCCUACACUCCGAAGAGUCCGUCAGGGCCUCUCCCUCUUGAUUCAGGUCCAACCCCUAAAACAAUUUUGCAUGCAGACACUGCUCAUGAAUUAUACAAUACCCACGACCUCACGCUCGUGUUUUAAACACGUUCAACACAAUUGUACUACGAUUUAACACUGGUUCCUAAAUAGGAAACCUACACUUUCUCUUUAACACUGGUUCCUAAUUAGGAACCUACACUUUCUCUUUAACACUGCGCAUCAACGCUUUUCUCAAGAUAACACUGGUCGGGUUAUUGUACAAUUCAUAGCUUACAACACAAGUAAUGUCACAUCAAGUGUUAACUACACACUUAUCCACAACCAAAACUCAUUCACAAUUUCACAUCUCAUAAUGUCACAAUCCACCAUCACAUGUUUACACGUAUCUCACAAAUUAACACAUGUUCAACUUUACACUUAUACUCAAUCUCAAUAACAAUAUUAUAAUCUCAAAGCAACAUGUUAUUUCACAAUUUAUCACAUAUUCCAUUUAUAAACACUGCUAGUGAAUUACACAAUACCAUGACCUUACACUCAUGUUUCAACACAUUUAACACAUUACGCUACAAUUUAACACUGGUUCCUAAAUAGGAGACCUACACAUUCUCUUUAACAUUGUGCAUAAACAAUUUUCUCAAUAUCAACAUUGGUCGGGUUAUUGUAUAAUUCACAGCUCAUAACUCAAUACACACAUCUCAAUACACAUGUAUCUCAAAUCUAAACAUAGUAUUCUCGAACUCCAACAUUUGAAUAAUUUUUGGAAUCACACAAUAACAACACUACAAUAUUAUUUACAUAAACUAUUAAUAUAAAUAAAUAUAUAACUAUAUAUAUAUAUAUAUAUAUAUAUAUAUAAAUCCAACAACGUAUAUCAUAUUUGAUCAUGAAUUUAAAGAAAGUUUUCAAUGUACCAAUUUUAAAUAAUUAUAUAAACAUUUUCUCAUAUAUAUAAGUAUACAUGAAUUCAUAUAUAUAUUAUCUAAGAAUACAACACAUAGUCUAUUAGAAUUCUUUUCUCAAUUUCAAAUAUAAUAUCAAUUUUAAACUAUAAAAAAAACUAAACAGCAUGAAAAGGAGAAAAUACAAACUCAAUAUCUCCUUACUUAAUUUCAUCAAUUCAUACUACGGUUCACACUCAAUACAAGAGCACAUUAAUUUCACAAAAAUUUCUCAUUGGGACAUCAAAUGAUUCAUCAAACAUAUAUAAUUUAUAUAUAACUCAUAGUUAUAAUUAUAAGGAUAAAGUAAAAAUUGUAGAAACACCUUAAAACUCAUCCCAAUUGAUACUCUAAGGAUCCCUACACAUGUUCUCACUAAUCCCCAAUCGUGAAUAACUCAUCCCUUACCUCUGAGCGGACUCACGUGUCUUCAGCCAAAUAGCAACAUCUCUAGUGGUUCCCGGAAAUUCUUUCAUUAUUCCUUCGACUGUUCCGAUAGAAUUCUCAAACGUCAGAGACGGAGAAGAGAUUGAAACCUCCAUUUGUACUGUCUUCAUGCGAUUCCUUUUUCUCCCUCCACGAAUAUUAUCUCGAAAAUCCCAACGGUGAAAGCGUGUGGAAUUGAAUUUCGAACAACAUAUCCAAAUUUCAUGAAAAUCCAACGGCUAACGAAACCGGGAUUGUAGUUUUACCGAGACAGUUUUGGGUUUCUGCGGGAAAUUAAAAUUCUACAAUGCGAAGGGUUUUCCUCUAAGCUCACAUAUGAUUUUGAAAUUCCCAACGGUGAGAAUGUUCGGAAUUGGGUUGCGAACAUAAUACUCAAAUUUCACGACGAUCCAACGGUGAACGGGUUCGAGAUCGUCUUUUUUCUGAGACUGGUUUGAUGGACUGCGGGAAAAAGAAAGAGUUUUGAGGAGAGAAGGGGAAAAACGAAAAUGAGGCAAAAAGGAGGCAGCUGACUUAACAUAAC